ACUCCGUCUCAAAAAAAAGAAAAAAUAACUCCAGGGCACUGCGCCCUUACUUCCUAUCUAACAUUGUGCCGAACGUUAUAGAUAGAUAACAUAGAUCCUCCUCCGUAUGAUCCUUAGUUCAGGAUCAUAAACUCUUGAUAAAUUACUGCCCCAGGAACCUCCAGUGACAUCAACCGCUGCUAUCAUUUGUGGAAUUCCGCCGGCCAGACACCCCACACUGCAUUCCCUCACAACUGAUCCUCCCGAUAGCCCAUGGGGUAGACACUGUUACUUCCAUUCACAGAUAAGCAAAGUGAGGCUCGGAGGGAGGGGACUUGCCCAAAGCCACAAGGAUGAAAGGACUUUUCCAGUUGCUACCAGACUACGCACUGUCGCCUGAUGGUUAAGAACUGAAGCUUUAGCCGUGCGCGGUGGCUCACGCCUGUAAUCCCAGCACUUUAGGAGGCAGAGGCGGGCGGAUCACCUGAGGUCACAGGAGUUCGAGACCAGCUUGACCAACAAGCUGGCGUAUCCGAAUGGGCUGAGCUACCGGAUUAAGAGGGACACCCCAAAGCCCCCAUUGCUGGGUUAUUGCUCCAGAGCCAAUGUCCUUAGGGAAACGAAGAUACGCCCUUUGUCUACACUGCCACUGCUGGUCUGUAAACUCCUAGACGGCCAGCUGGUGGUUCACAAACCAGGACUCCUUGCUCUGGCCCUACUCCUACCUACCAGAAUGACCGUGAACACUUCCCCACUCACUCCUACAACCAGGUUUCCAUCUUCUCUCUCAGCUUAGGUUUCCCUAAUUGUAAAAUAAAAGGGUUGGACUAGGUUAAGGACUUCCAGCUGUUUCUCUCUCCCACACUCUAAGGUUCCUUAGGAAUGCUUCAGAAGACAGCAGGGGUUGGGGCAAGGACGCCACCUGAGUCCCAGAGCAACUCCAAUUUCAUAGGUACAUAAAUUUAUGUGAAAGUA
This is a long non-coding RNA of Nomascus leucogenys (northern white-cheeked gibbon), 954 nucleotides long. RefSeq lists it as uncharacterized. NCBI's taxonomy places the organism in Eukaryota, Metazoa, Chordata, Mammalia, Primates, Hylobatidae. The record is from RefSeq and is a predicted model, not a curated record. The transcript is spliced from 3 exons.